This 279-nucleotide ribosomal RNA is filed under the name uncultured bacterium. Its description in RNAcentral is "partial 16S ribosomal RNA". It matches the Rfam family "Bacterial small subunit ribosomal RNA", at positions 506 to 784 of the family's 1533-position model. The record is from RNAcentral.
UGCCAGCCGCCGCGGUAAUACGGAGGGGGCUAGCGUUGUUCGGAAUUACUGGGCGUAAAGCGCGUGUAGGCGGUUCGUUAAGUCUGAUGUGAAAGCCCGGGGCUCAACCCCGGAAGUGCAUUGGAAACUGGCGAACUUGAGUACGGGAGAGGAAAGUGGAAUUCCGAGUGUAGGGGUGAAAUCCGUAGAUAUUCGGAGGAACACCAGUGGCGAAGGCGACUUACUGGUCUUUUACUGACGCUGAGGCACGAAAGCGUGGGGAGCAAACAGGAUUAGAUA